RNAcentral lists this ribosomal RNA (516 nucleotides) under Saitozyma sp. DMKU-SK16. RNAcentral's name for it is "partial 28S ribosomal RNA". It matches the Rfam family "Eukaryotic large subunit ribosomal RNA", at positions 62 to 584 of the family's 3401-position model. Lineage: Eukaryota; Fungi; Basidiomycota; Tremellomycetes; Tremellales; Trimorphomycetaceae. The record is from RNAcentral.
AAACUAACAAGGAUUCCCUUAGUAGCGGCGAGCGAAGCGGGAAGAGCUCAAAUUUGAAAGCUGGCGUCCUACGGGCGUCCGCAUUGUAAUCUAUAGAGGCGUUUUCUGUGCUGGACCGUGUCCAAGUCCCUUGGAACAGGGUAUCAAAGAGGGUGACAAUCCCGUACUUGACACGACAACCAGUGCUCUGUGAUACGUCUUCUACGAGUCGAGUUGUUUGGGAAUGCAGCUCAAAAUGGGUGGUGAAUUCCAUCUAAAGCUAAAUAUUGGCGAGAGACCGAUAGCGAACAAGUACCGUGAGGGAAAGAUGAAAAGCACUUUGGAAAGAGAGUUAAACAGUAUGUGAAAUUGUUGAAAGGGAAACGAUGGAGGUCAGUCGUGUCUGUGGGAUUCAGCCGUCUCUGGCGGUGUACUUCCCACAGACGGGUCAACAUCAGUUUUGGCUGGCGGAUAAAGGCAGGAGGAAGGUGGCACCCCCGGGUGUGUUAUAGCCUCUUGUUGCAUACGCUGGCUGAG